AUUAUGGAGAGUUUGAUCCUGGCUCAGGACGAACGCUGGCGGCAUGCCUAAUACAUGCAAGUCGAGCGAAUGA
Molecule: ribosomal RNA, 73 nt
Filed under: Psychrobacillus psychrodurans
Lineage: Bacteria; Bacillati; Bacillota; Bacilli; Caryophanales; Bacillaceae
Description: partial 16S ribosomal RNA
Rfam family: Bacterial small subunit ribosomal RNA
Source: RNAcentral